AGAGUUUGAUCAUGGCUCAGGACGAACGCUGGCGGCGUGCCUAAUACAUGCAAGUCGAACGAACUCUGGUAUUGAUUGGUGCUUGCAUCAUGAUUUACAUUUGAGUGAGUGGCGAACUGGUGAGUAACACGUGGGAAACCUGCCCAGAAGCGGGGGAUAACACCUGGAAACAGAUGCUAAUACCGCAUAACAACUUGGACCGCAUGGUCCGAGUUUGAAAGAUGGCUUCGGCUAUCACUUUUGGAUGGUCCCGCGGCGUAUUAGCUAGAUGGUGGGGUAACGGCUCACCAUGGCAAUGAUACGUAGCCGACCUGAGAGGGUAAUCGGCCACAUUGGGACUGAGACACGGCCCAAACUCCUACGGGAGGCAGCAGUAGGGAAUCUUCCACAAUGGACGAAAGUCUGAUGGAGCAACGCCGCGUGAGUGAAGAAGGGUUUCGGCUCGUAAAACUCUGUUGUUAAAGAAGAACAUAUCUGAGAGUAACUGUUCAGGUAUUGACGGUAUUUAACCAGAAAGCCACGGCUAACUACGUGCCAGCAGCCGCGGUAAUACGUAGGUGGCAAGCGUUGUCCGGAUUUAUUGGGCGUAAAGCGAGCGCAGGCGGUUUUUUAAGUCUGAUGUGAAAGCCUUCGGCUCACCCGAAGAAGUGCAUCGGAAACUGGGAAACUUGAGUGCAGAAGAGGACAGUGGAACUCCAUGUGUAGCGGUGAAAUGCGUAGAUAUAUGGAAGAACACCAGUGGCGAAGGCGGCUGUCUGGUCUGUAACUGACGCUGAGGCUCGAAAGUAUGGGUAGCAAACAGGAUUAGAUACCCUGGUAGUCCAUACCGUAAACGAUGAAUGCUAAGUGUUGGAGGGUUUCCGCCCUUCAGUGCUGCAGCUAACGCAUUAAGCAUUCCGCCUGGGGAGUACGGCCGCAAGGCUGAAACUCAAAGGAAUUGACGGGGGCCCGCACAAGCGGUGGAGCAUGUGGUUUAAUUCGAAGCUACGCGAAGAACCUUACCAGGUCUUGACAUACUAUGCAAAUCUAAGAGAUUAGACGUUCCCUUCGGGGACAUGGAUACAGGUGGUGCAUGGUUGUCGUCAGCUCGUGUCGUGAGAUGUUGGGUUAAGUCCCGCAACGAGCGCAACCCUUAUUAUCAGUUGCCAGCAUUAAGUUGGGCACUCUGGUGAGACUGCCGGUGACAAACCGGAGGAAGGUGGGGAUGACGUCAAAUCAUCAUGCCCCUUAUGACCUGGGCUACACACGUACUACAAUGGAUGGUACAACGAGUUGCGAACUCGCGAGAGUAAGCUAAUCUCUUAAAGCCAUUCUCAGUUCGGAUUGUAGGCUGCAACUCGCCUACAUGAAGUCGGAAUCGCUAGUAAUCGCGGAUCAGCAUGCCGCGGUGAAUACGUUCCCGGGCCUUGUACACACCGCCCGUCACACCAUGAGAGUUUGUAACACCCAAAGUCGGUGGGGUAACCUUUUAGGAACCAGCCGCCUAAGGUGGGACAGAUGAUUAGGGUGAAGUCGUAACAAGGUAACC
RNAcentral lists this ribosomal RNA (1528 nucleotides) under uncultured bacterium. RNAcentral's name for it is "partial 16S ribosomal RNA". It matches the Rfam family "Bacterial small subunit ribosomal RNA". The record is from RNAcentral.